This 735-nucleotide ribosomal RNA is filed under the name Staphylococcus sp. 1.5-02. RNAcentral describes it as "bacterial SSU rRNA". It matches the Rfam family "Bacterial small subunit ribosomal RNA", at positions 56 to 775 of the family's 1533-position model. The record is from RNAcentral. Lineage: Bacteria; Bacillati; Bacillota; Bacilli; Caryophanales; Staphylococcaceae.
UGCAAGUCGAGCGAACAGACGAGGAGCUUGCUCCUUUGACGUUAGCGGCGGACGGGUGAGUAACACGUAGGUAACCUACCUAUAAGACUGGGAUAACUUCGGGAAACCGGAGCUAAUACCGGAUAAUAUUUCGAACCGCAUGGUUCGAUAGUGAAAGAUGGCUUUGCUAUCACUUAUAGAUGGACCUGCGCCGUAUUAGCUAGUUGGUAAGGUAACGGCUUACCAAGGCAACGAUACGUAGCCGACCUGAGAGGGUGAUCGGCCACACUGGAACUGAGACACGGUCCAGACUCCUACGGGAGGCAGCAGUAGGGAAUCUUCCGCAAUGGGCGAAAGCCUGACGGAGCAACGCCGCGUGAGUGAUGAAGGUCUUCGGAUCGUAAAACUCUGUUAUUAGGGAAGAACAAACGUGUAAGUAACUGUGCACGUCUUGACGGUACCUAAUCAGAAAGCCACGGCUAACUACGUGCCAGCAGCCGCGGUAAUACGUAGGUGGCAAGCGUUAUCCGGAAUUAUUGGGCGUAAAGCGCGCGUAGGCGGUUUUUUAAGUCUGAUGUGAAAGCCCACGGCUCAACCGUGGAGGGUCAUUGGAAACUGGAAAACUUGAGUGCAGAANAGGAAAGUGGAAUUCCAUGUGUAGCGGUGAAAUGCGCAGAGAUAUGGAGGACACCAGUGGCGAAGCGACUUUCUGGUCUGUAACUGACGCUGAUGUGCGAAAGCGUGGGGAUCAAACAG